Non-coding RNA from Paracoccidioides brasiliensis, 461 nucleotides. It matches the Rfam family "RNase MRP". Rfam says of the family: RNase MRP is an enzymatically active ribonucleoprotein with two distinct roles in eukaryotes. In mitochondria it plays a direct role in the initiation of mitochondrial DNA replication. NCBI's taxonomy places the organism in Eukaryota, Fungi, Ascomycota, Eurotiomycetes, Onygenales, Ajellomycetaceae. The record is from Rfam.
UCCUCGCUCAAAGAAUCGCAUUCAAAGCUUACGCACAGAAGAAAGCCUUUCUCAGGGCCUUCUUCAAACCACACCCUCUAGCUUUGGGAGAAAGUCCCCGGACACCCUGCGCCCUCGGGCUUUUCACCCACGGGGUUCUUUUUGUUACCAAAAAGCCAGGCAAUGCGGAAACGCGCCGCCAUAGAAGCAUAUUUCAUUGCGGCUUAAUGCCUUUCUCUUCUUCUUCUCUUUUCUUUAAGGAGGAAGACCUCCCCUUUCCAUCCCGACUUUGCAGAAGUUUCGAUUUCUGCUGAGGUAACAAUGGUGGCUGGAUUGGAUGGGCCAGUUUUUGCUGGCGGGGAUUGGUUGCUAUUCGUCGUGGUUGGAUAGUCAUGCGAUUGCUCUUUUUUUGUAUAUACGCCUUUAACAGGGUGUGUGUAUGAUUUUUGAGUAACUCGAUGGGGCUUAUUCUUGAGGCGAGG